CAGUAGCCGCGGUAACACAGAGGGUGCGAGCGUUAAUCGGAUUUACUGGGCGUAAAGCGUGCGUAGGCGGCUAAUUGAGUCGGAUGUGAAAUCCCCGAGCUUAACUUGGGAAUUGCAUUCGAUACUGGUUAGCUAGAGUGUGGGAGAGGAUGGUAGAAUUCCAGGUGUAGCGGUGAAAUGCGUAGAGAUCUGGAGGAAUACCGAUGGCGAAGGCAGCCAUCUGGCCUAACACUGACGCUGAGGUACGAAAGCAUGGGGAGCAAACAGGAUUAGAUACCCCUGUAGUCCCUGUCUCUUAUAC
RNAcentral lists this ribosomal RNA (301 nucleotides) under uncultured bacterium. RNAcentral's name for it is "partial 16S ribosomal RNA". It matches the Rfam family "Bacterial small subunit ribosomal RNA", at positions 509 to 807 of the family's 1533-position model. The record is from RNAcentral.